UACGAGGGGGGCAAGCGUUGUUCGGAAUUAUUGGGCGUAAAGGGUGCGUAGGCGGACAGGUAAGUCAGUGGUGAAAUCUCUGGGCUUAACCCAGAAACUGCCGUUGAUACUAUUUGUCUUGAAUAUCCUGGAGGUAGGCGGAAUAUGUCAUGUAGCGGUGAAAUGCUUAGAUAUGACAUAGAACACCGAUAGCGAAGGCAGCUUACUACAGGAUGAUUGACGCUGAGGCACGAAAGCGUGGGGAGCAAACAGG
This 253-nucleotide ribosomal RNA is filed under the name uncultured bacterium. Its description in RNAcentral is "partial 16S ribosomal RNA". It matches the Rfam family "Bacterial small subunit ribosomal RNA", at positions 524 to 776 of the family's 1533-position model. The record is from RNAcentral.